This is a long non-coding RNA of Anoplopoma fimbria (sablefish), 386 nucleotides long. RefSeq lists it as uncharacterized. NCBI's taxonomy places the organism in Eukaryota, Metazoa, Chordata, Actinopteri, Perciformes, Anoplopomatidae. The transcript is spliced from 4 exons. The record is from RefSeq and is a predicted model, not a curated record.
CGGUACUAGUCCUCCUAGUAAAGACACACUAAAACAUUGAUUGUACAAAAUUUGACACCCUGAAGAAAUGUACUAUUUGAAUUACGUCAAUAGAAUGCACACACUGAGGAGAGAAUCAUUCUCCUUCAUACCGACUGAACCUGUCCAGCACAAUGGACAUCAGAAAGUUAUUCGCUCGGAGCAGGGAUAAAGCAGCAAGGAGAAAUGAGAGAGACAAAGAGGAGCAGCAGAGUGCCGGAGGAGGUGACGGAGGAGUUGAAGGAAAAGGUGAAGGAGAGAGGGAUGUUGAUGAGCACGAGCAGAGACUCAGUGCAGCAGAGUGCAGAGGAGGAGAGGAGCAGAUUGAAGGGACGCAGGUAGAGUUGGCAUUGAGAGAUGACACUGAC